RNAcentral lists this ribosomal RNA (250 nucleotides) under uncultured prokaryote. RNAcentral describes it as "partial 16S ribosomal RNA". It matches the Rfam family "Bacterial small subunit ribosomal RNA", at positions 524 to 771 of the family's 1533-position model. The record is from RNAcentral.
UACGUAGGGUCCAAGCAUUAUCCGGAGUGACUGGGUGUAAAGAGUUGCGUAGGUGGCAAGUUAAGUAGCUAGUGAAAUCUGGUGGCUCAACCAUUCAGACUAUUAGCUAAACUGACUAGCUCGAGAGCGUUAGGGGUAGCUGGAAUUUCUAGUGUAGGAGUGAAAUCCGUAGAUAUUAGAAAGAACACCGAUAGCGUAGGCAGGCUACUGGGACGUUUCUGACACUAAGGCACGAAAGCGUGGGGAGCAA